RNAcentral lists this transfer RNA (73 nucleotides) under Spirochaetaceae bacterium. RNAcentral describes it as "tRNA-Arg". It matches the Rfam family "tRNA". From Rfam's summary of the family: Transfer RNA (tRNA) molecules are approximately 80 nucleotides in length. The record is from RNAcentral. Lineage: Bacteria; Pseudomonadati; Spirochaetota; Spirochaetia; Spirochaetales; Spirochaetaceae.
GCUCCGGUAGCUCAGGGGAUAGAGCAACUGCCUCCUAAGCAGUAGGUCGCGCGUUCGAUUCGCGCCCGGAGUA